Molecule: long non-coding RNA, 1020 nt
Organism: Carassius auratus (goldfish)
Lineage: Eukaryota; Metazoa; Chordata; Actinopteri; Cypriniformes; Cyprinidae
Exons: 4
Source: RefSeq, a predicted model, not a curated record
GAAGCAAUCAAACCAACAAAAUGUUUCUUAGAAAAAUGUAAAAUGUUAUUUUUGAGGAAUAUUUGCUGAUUGAAUAGAAUAAUUGAAGUCUAUGAAUAUGCCCAAACAACAUCUGUUACCUUACUAAUAACCUUUGCUCUUUUCCACUGUCCUCUAACUUUCUGCUGUCUUUUUUCUCUCUCUCUGCUUUCUAGUUGAGUCAGCCGUCUCUGUGCCCGGAGCUGCUGUUCUUUCUCUGUAGUUUACUGAGUAUCCGGCUGAGAGCUCUGUGCUGGGCACCAGAAAGCCUCCAUUACCUCCCCUCACCUAUCACAGAGAGAGACUGUUUGAGCCAACUACAUGCACACUUGAAGAACCGAGCUCAACUGGAUAAAGCACAUUACGAGAUCUCAUCUAUCGACUUGGUGAGAAUGGUGCCUUCGUACCUUCAUUGAUCUUGGGGUGUUGAUUGAGGACGGGCAGAGAGAAGAUGUGUAUCUAGAUAUCGGCCCUCUCUUCUCUGUGGUGUGCGCUCACAAAGAGAAACUCUUGCAGUUUUUCAAACAGUUCAUGUAUAACUGAAAGAGAAAAGUACAUGUUUUGAAGAGAAGUCAGUCUCAGCUGGAAAUGAUAACCGUAAGCACUUCUGAAAUUCCUCUUCAGUUUUUCAGUGUUGUGUAAAUCAUUAAUUAUGAAUGCUUUUCUGUGUUUAUACAUCUGUUUUGCUGAGAGCACUUGCUUUUAAAAAACAAUGUGAUGCCGAGGUUGCUUUUUUUGUUAGGUUUUGUUGUUGAGAGCCCAGAAUUGGUUUGGUUAUUGGUUGGAUGAUGACUAUUCCGAUAGUUAGAUAAUGUUCUCUUCUUUAUAAAGAGCAGAUAAUUUUUUUUUUUUUUUUUUGAUUGUUUCGUUUAUUAUUAUUCUUUUGUUUAACUGUAAUGAAAAUGUAAUGGGCUUUGUUCAGUACACAAGUGUCUGAUAACUGACCCAGUUGCAGUGUUUCUGUCAUGGUUGAUUUAUAGUUUAGCCACACAGCACAGCAUA